Molecule: ribosomal RNA, 233 nt
Filed under: uncultured bacterium
Lineage: Bacteria
Description: partial 16S ribosomal RNA
Rfam family: Bacterial small subunit ribosomal RNA
Source: RNAcentral
UACGGAGGGUGCGAGCGUUGUCCGGAAUCAUUGGGCGUAAAGGGCGCGUAGGUGGCCCAGUCAGCGUGCGGAUGAAGCUCGGGGCUCAACCCCGAGUCGGCCGUGCGAACUACUGGGCUGGAGCACUGUAGAGGCAGGCGGAAUUCCGGGUGUAGCGGUGGAAUGCGUAGAGAUCCGGAAGAACACCGGUGGCGAAGGCGGCCUGCUGGGCAGUGGCUGACGCUGAGGCGCGA